GCGGGAGUGGCGAAAUUGGUAGACGCACCAGAUUUAGGUUCUGGCGCCUAUGGUGUAAGAGUUCGAGUCUCUUCUCCCGCACCA
This 84-nucleotide transfer RNA is filed under the name Succinivibrio dextrinosolvens. RNAcentral describes it as "tRNA_Leu_TAG". It matches the Rfam family "tRNA". Rfam says of the family: Transfer RNA (tRNA) molecules are approximately 80 nucleotides in length. Their secondary structure includes four short double-helical elements and three loops (D, anti-codon, and T loops). RNAcentral also lists the same sequence under 2 other names. Lineage: Bacteria; Pseudomonadati; Pseudomonadota; Gammaproteobacteria; Aeromonadales; Succinivibrionaceae. The record is from RNAcentral.